RNAcentral lists this ribosomal RNA (481 nucleotides) under uncultured bacterium. RNAcentral describes it as "partial 16S ribosomal RNA". It matches the Rfam family "Bacterial small subunit ribosomal RNA", at positions 28 to 507 of the family's 1533-position model. The record is from RNAcentral.
GACGAACGUUGGCGGCGUGCUUAAUACAUGCAAGUCAACUGAAGCAGUGGUAGCAAUAUCGCUGUGGAGGUGGCGCACGGGUGAGUAACACGUAGGUAAUCUGCCUUCAGGUCUGGCAUAACUCCGGGAAACCGGGGCUAAUAGCAGAUGAUGCAGCGGCUCGACAUCGAGACAGUUGUUAAAGCUAUGGCGCCUGAAGAUGAGCCUGCGUCUGAUUAGCUAGUUGGCGGGGUAACGGCCCACCAAGGCAACGAUCAGUAGCUGGUCUGAGAGGAUGAUCAGCCACACUGGAACUGAGACACGGUCCAGACUCCGACGGGAGGCAGCAGUAAGGAAUAUUGCUCAAUGGGAGAAAUCCUGAAGCAGCAACGCCGCGUGAGGGACGAAGGGCUUUUGCUUGUAAACCUCUGUAGUGAGAGAAAAAAAUCCCAAUCUUUGGGACAUGAUGGUAUCUCAAAAGUAAGCCCCGGCUAACUACGUG